CUCAAAGCCUGGUCCAUCUCCAUAGGACUGAAGCCUUGAAUCCGUUGCAGUUCGAUGCUGGAAAAAUAAUCCAUGAUGCUGAGGACAUACUCAUUGGCUAUUCCAAGUAUCUGUGGGCAACUGGCAUAUCCCGCAAAUGCUCCAGAGCUGUUCGACACACGAUCAAGAGUGCAUUCCGACUUGAGCCUUGGUCACUUGCUUUGGUCGACUCUCUCGGAAAGAUCCCAUCAGGUGUUCU
This is a long non-coding RNA of Varroa destructor (honeybee mite), 238 nucleotides long. NCBI's taxonomy places the organism in Eukaryota, Metazoa, Arthropoda, Arachnida, Mesostigmata, Varroidae. The record is from RefSeq and is a predicted model, not a curated record.